CGAAAGCCUGACGGAGCAAUACCGCGUGAGGGAAGAAGGCUCUUGGGUCGUAAACCUCUUUUGUUUGGGAAGAAACCUGACGGUACCAAACGAAUAAGCAUCGGCUAACUCCGUGCCAGCAGCCGCGGUAAGACGGAGGAUGCAAGCGUUAUCCGGAAUUAUUGGGCGUAAAGCGUCCGUAGGUGGUUUUGUAAGUCCGUGGUUAAAGCGUGGAGCUUAACUCCAUAAAGGCCAUGGAAACUACAAGACUAGAGUGAAGUAGGGGUAGAGGGAAUUCCCAGUGUAGCGGUGAAAUGCGUAGAGAUUGGGAAGAACACCGGUGGCGAAGGCGCUCUACUGGACUUAUACUGACACUGAGGGACGAAAGCUAGGGGAGCG
This 378-nucleotide ribosomal RNA is filed under the name uncultured cyanobacterium. RNAcentral's name for it is "bacterial SSU rRNA". It matches the Rfam family "Bacterial small subunit ribosomal RNA", at positions 376 to 770 of the family's 1533-position model. Lineage: Bacteria; Bacillati; Cyanobacteriota. The record is from RNAcentral.